This 466-nucleotide ribosomal RNA is filed under the name uncultured bacterium. Its description in RNAcentral is "partial 16S ribosomal RNA". It matches the Rfam family "Bacterial small subunit ribosomal RNA", at positions 28 to 505 of the family's 1533-position model. The record is from RNAcentral.
GACGAACGCUGGCGGCGUGCUUAACACAUGCAAGUCGAACGGAAAGGCCCUGCUUUUGUGGGGUGCUCGAGUGGCGAACGGGUGAGUAACACGUGAGUAACCUGCCCUUGACUUUGGGAUAACUUCAGGAAACUGGGGCUAAUACCGGAUAGGAGCUCCUGCUGCAUGGUGGGGGUUGGAAAGUUUCGGCGGUUGGGGAUGGACUCGCGGCUUAUCAGCUUGUUGGUGGGGUAGUGGCUUACCAAGGAUUUGACGGGUAGCCGGCCUGAGAGGGUGACCGGCCACGUUGGGAAUGAGAUGCGGCCCAGACGCCUACGGGAGGCAGCAGUGGGGAAUAUUGCACAAUGGGCGGAAGCCUGAUGCAGCAACGCCGCGUGCGGGAUGACGGCCUUCGGGUUGUAAACCGCUUGCGCCUGUGACGAAGCGUGAGUGACGGUAAUGGGUAAAGAAGCAGCGGCUAACUACG